RNAcentral lists this ribosomal RNA (467 nucleotides) under uncultured bacterium. RNAcentral's name for it is "partial 16S ribosomal RNA". It matches the Rfam family "Bacterial small subunit ribosomal RNA", at positions 28 to 507 of the family's 1533-position model. The record is from RNAcentral.
GACGAACGCUGGCGGCGUGCUUAACACAUGCAAGUCGAACGGAAAGGCCCUGCUUUUGUGGGGUGCUCGAGUGGCGAACGGGUGAGUAACACGUGAGUAACCUGCCCUUGACUUUGGGAUAACUUCAGGAAACUGGGGCUAAUACCGGAUAGGAGCUCCUGCUGCAUGGUGGGGUUGGAAAGUUUCGGCGGUUGGGGAUGGACUCGCGGCUUAUCAGCUUGUUGGUGGGGUAGUGGCUUACCAAGGCCUUGACGGGUAGCCGGCCUGAGAGGGUGACCGGCCACAUUGGGACUGAGAUACGGCCCAGACUCCUACGGGAGGCAGCAGUGGGGAAUAUUGCACAAUGGGCGGAAGCCUGAUGCAGCAACGCCGCGUGCGGGAUGACGGCCUUCGGGUUGUAAACCGCUUUCGCCUGUGACGAAGCGUGAGUGACGGUAAUGGGUAAAGAAGCACCGGCUAACUACGUG